This 449-nucleotide ribosomal RNA is filed under the name uncultured bacterium. RNAcentral's name for it is "bacterial SSU rRNA". It matches the Rfam family "Bacterial small subunit ribosomal RNA", at positions 335 to 799 of the family's 1533-position model. The record is from RNAcentral.
ACUCCUACGGGAGGCAGCAGUGGGGAAUCUUGGACAAUGGGCGGCAAGCCUGAUCCAGCCAUGCCGCGUGAGUGAUGAAGGCCUUAGGGUCGUAAAGCUCUUUCGCCUGUGAAGAUAAUGACGGUAGCAGGUAAAGAAACCCCGGCUAACUCCGUGCCAGCAGCCGCGGUAAUACGGAGGGGUUAGCGUUGUUCGGAAUUACUGGGCGUAAAGCGCGCGUAGGCGGACCAGAAAGUUGGGGUGAAAUCCCGGGGCUCAACCCCGGAACUGCCUCCAAAACUCCUGGUCUUGAGUUCGAGAGAGGUGAGUGGAAUUCCGAGUGUAGAGGUGAAAUUCGUAGAUAUUCGGAGGAACACCAGUGGCGAAAGGCGGCUCACUGGCUCGAUACUGACGCUGAGGUGCGAAAAGUGUGGGGAGCAAACAGGAUUAGAUACCCUGGUAGGACAGUG